AUUACCGCGGCUGCUGGCACCAGACUUGCCCUCCAAUUGGUCCUCGUUAAAGGAUUUAAAGUGUACUCAUUCCGAUUACGGGGCCUCGGAUGAGUCCCGUAUCGUUAUUUUUCGUCACUACCUCCCCGUGCCGGGAGUGGGUAAUUUGCGCGCCUGCUGCCUCCCGUAGGAG
RNAcentral lists this ribosomal RNA (172 nucleotides) under uncultured bacterium. RNAcentral describes it as "partial 16S ribosomal RNA". The record is from RNAcentral.